Molecule: long non-coding RNA, 7630 nt
Organism: Loxodonta africana (African savanna elephant)
Lineage: Eukaryota; Metazoa; Chordata; Mammalia; Proboscidea; Elephantidae
Exons: 2
Source: RefSeq, a predicted model, not a curated record
UGAUUGCAGGACCACAGCAGCCAUCCUGAUCUAUGAGGCUGUGAACAGGGUGUGGGAGGGGAGAAAGAUGUCAGACCUGGGGGUGGGGGUGGAGGGUCAAAGAACUGGGAGCUCCUGGAAUUAUUGGCUUCAAGUCUGAGAAUCUUCUGCUUCUCUGAACUUGUUUCUUCCUUCCUUUCUUUCUAUCUUCCUUCCUUUCUAUCUUCCUUCCUUCUGUCAUUUAUUUCUUUCCUCCUUCCUUUCUUUCUUACUUUCUUUCUUAAGAGCUCAGAAAGUCCUUGGCUAACAUUUGAAACCACCACCCAUCUGUCAGCUUGUCUUACUGCGGUGGCUUGCAUAUUGCUGUGAUGCUGGAAGCUAUGCCACCAAUAUUUCCAAUACCAGCAGGGUCACCCAUGGUGAACAGGUUUCAGCAGAGCUUCCAGACUCAGACAGACUAGGAAGAAAGGCCUGGUGGUCUGCUUCCAAAAAUCAGCCAGUGAAAACCCUAUGAAUCACAACAGAACAUUGCCCAAUAUAGUGCUGGAAGAUGAGUCCCCUAGGUUGCAAAACACUCAAAAUAUACAGUGGCUUCAACAACACACUCAAGCAUACCAAUGAUGCGAAGAUGGCACUGGACCAGGCAUAAUUUUGUUCUGUUGUACAUGGCGUCACCACAAGUUGGAGUCGACUCAACGACAACAGGUAUAAUGGAAAAACCACUGGGCAGGGAGCUGGACGAUAUCUCAGCUCUGACACUAACUGGGAGACCGUCUGGCACAUGGGAAGACAUGGAUCAUGGAGUCCAGCAAGCAUGGAUCGCGUUCUGGUUCCGGGACCUACUGCAGCUCUCUGGGUCUGUUUCCUCAUCCAUGUAAAGGAUACUAUUCAUCUCAUAGAGUUGUUGUAAGGAUUCAAUGAGAAAAGCUCUUUAUGCUGCUCCUGAUAUGUAAUAUGGAAACCCUGGUGGCAUAGUGGUUAAGAGCUAGUGCUGCCAACCAGUUCAAAUCCACCAGGCGCUUCUUGGAAACCCUAUGGGGCAGUUCUACUCUGUCCUAUGGGUUCACUGUGAGUCGGAAUCGACUCGACAGCAACGGGCUUGGUUUUUUGGUUUGGUUUAAUAUGUAAUAUGGAGCCCUGGUGGCGCAGUGCGUGCUAUUAUUAUUAUGUACUGUUACGAUUAUUACUAAGAAUUAUUUUGGGCAGACCAGUUCACCUCUGUGAACUUCACUAUUGUCAUCCAAAGAAUCAGUCUUUUUUGUGUGUCGUUAAAAAUAUAUGCCUUUACAGGAAGGGACAGGAAAACUGGAAAAAUGGACACGGAGAAUCGAGGUGGAAAGGGAAAGAGGCAGAGUGCUGACACAAUGCAGGGAUUGCAACCAAUGUCACAAAACAAUUUGUGUACAAGUUUUUGAAUGAGAAACUAAUUUGCAAUGUACACUUUCACCUAAAGCACAAUAACUUUAAAAAUAUGUAUACGUAUAUGCCUUUAGAAAUAAUGUCCCAAUAAGUUGAAAUAUGCUUCUGCUGUCCUUCUUCCUACCUAAAAGUCUUCUCUUCUCCAUUUGCUUUGGCAUCUGAACUUGUUUCAGACAAAUGAGUCAGUUAGCAUGAAGUCAUUAAUUUUCUUGAGCCAGACAGACGUGUGUCAGCCCUUCUCUAAGGGAGAGCAAGGUGCUCAUUUCAGACCUCACCAAGAAUACCCUCAAAGUGAUCCUAGUGCAGGCCCUGCCUCCUCCUGGGGCUGUUUUGAAGUUCAAAUGAGAUGAUAACGUUCUUCAAUGCCUUUGAAAUUGAAAGUACUAGUCAAGAGCUUUUUUUUCCAGUUGCCAAUGAGUUGACCCCAACUCAUGGCCACACCAUGUAUGUCAGAGUAGAACUGUGCUCCGUAGACUUUUUCGUUUGUUUGUUUGUUUUUUAAAUUCUGCUUCCGGUGACAGUUUACAAAGCAAAUUGGUUUCCCAUAAAGUGUUUCAUGACCUUGGUUUCAUUCCCCACAAUGUGUCAGCACUUCUCCAUUUUUUUCAUCCUGAUUUUCUACCCCAUCCUGCCUUCUCAUCUUUGCUUUUGGACAGAUAAUGUCCUUUUGAUCUUGUAUAAUUGAUUGCUGUAAGGAGUAUGUUCCUCUCAGGUGUUACUGUUUAUCUUAUGUGGCUGUCUAUUGUUUGGCUAGGAUCCGAGAAUGGCUUCCUUUCCAAGUCAAAAGUGUGCCUUAGGGCCAUAGUCUUAGAGGUUCCUCUAGUUUCUGUCAGACCAGCAAGCCUGGUCUUUUUUGUAAAUUUGUUUUUUUGUUCUACAAUUUUCUCCUGCUCUGUCUAGGACCCUCUGUUGUGAUCCCAAUCAGAGCAGUUGGUGGUGGUAGUUGGGCACUACCUAGUUCUUCUGGUCUCCGGGUCGUGUAGGCUGUGGUUUAUGUGGUCCAUUAGUCCUUUGGACUAAUUGCUUCCUUGAGUCUUUGGUCUGUCCAUAAGGUUUUCAAUGACUGAUCACCAGGUCUUUCUUCCAAGGCACCUCUGAGCAGACUUGAACCACCAACCUUUCAGUCAGGAGCAAACACAUUAAAUGUUUACACCACCCAGGGACUCCAAGGGCUAGGGGUAUCUAUUUCUUUCAUUCUUAGAGAACACCUGGUCGGCAGCUGCACUGGGACUAGAACCCAGGUCCUGACCCCCAGCCUAGGGCAAAGCAAUUCUCCUAGUUACCUGGCAGAGUGCUUAACUAUGUUGCACAUCUUCAAUUAAAAGGAGUUUAAGCUAUUGCCUGGAAAAAGACUCUGCCAUUGCCUAUAUUCAGUGAUGAGGGAAGAACGUCUGUCAAUCUAAGUGUGGCUCAUAGGGGUGAUAGGGAGUAGGGGCUGAGGUGGGCAAGGGCGGGAAGCAAAGAGAUUGGGAAGAGCCAAUCCAUCCAGGCAACAGAGGGCGAGGGUCUAGAUUCUAGAAGUAACAGAGUGGAGGGGACCAAUCUGAGAAAUGUUAUUCAUCUUUUGUUAGAUUUAACUUUGUGUUUUGGAAACAUUCAGACUUACACAAACGUAGAGAGAAUGGUAUGAUGAGCCUCCAUGGGCCUAGUACCCAUAUGCACCAGUUAUCAACAUUUCCCUCUUGAGAAUUUGUAGAAGGGGAGAUUGAUAGGCCUUAGUGAUUGGUUGGAGCCCUGGUGGUAUAGUGGUUAAGAGCUCGGCUGCUAACCAAAAGGUCAGCAGUUCGAAUCCACCAGCUGCUCCUUGGAAACCCUAUGGGGCAGUUCUAUCCCAUCCUAUAGGGUUGCUGUGAGUCGGAAUCGACUGGAUGACAAUGGGUUUGUUUUGUUUUUUGGUAGUGAUUGAUUAGAUGGUGAGGGGAAGUGGUGAUGAGGGAAUAGAGAGAAAAUCGAUAGGCCUUACUGAUUGAUUAGAUGUGAGGGGAAGUGGUGAUGAGGAAAGAGAGCCAAAAGAGAAGGAAGAACUCAGGAUGACGGGGGUGUCUAGCCUGGGUCAGGUAGAGAAUGUAGGAAGCCGAGCCAGUCUGGAGGAAGACAAUGAGCUGAGUGAGCAGAGCCUGUCCGGAGUAGGGAGUUAUGCUCUCUGCACACCCACCUCCCAGUUCCUUACACAGAUAUCUACUGAGUAAGCAAAGGAUGUGGGUAGUGGGACCCACCAAGGACGGUUCUAGCCCCCUGCUAGGCUGGCCCAGUCUGAAGGCUGAAGCAGGUGAAGCUAGCUGAGCACCAGUUAGAGGACAGUGGUGAUACAGUGGUAGAAUUCUUGCCUCCCAUGAGGGAGAUAGAGAGACGGUUAUUAUAAAAGGGUGCUGUACCCAGAAAGGAUAUCGUAUUGCCUGUAAAUAGAAUAGUCUGCUCACACAAAGGCUAGUUCAUGAUCAGUGCCCUUGAGGAACUUAUUGCCUAUGGGGAAAAUGACUUGUAAACACCUCACAAUAAUCAGAGGCAGGGCAACAGAAAGGCUGAGGAGACUCCCCUGCUAUUUGCUGUGAUGGCUUGGACAAAGGAGCCACUGAUUCUGACUAGAAGCACCAGGCAGGAGGCACUCCCUCGUGGUACUCCUGUUACAGCAGCACUAGGAGAUGAAGACUUACUAACUCAUUAACAGCCUGCGUUAUGCAGAUGACACAACCUUGCUUGCUGAAAGUGAACAGGACUCGAACCACUUGCUGAUGAAUGAUGAAGAUCAAAGACCCCAGCCUUCAGUAUGGGUUACACCUCAACAUAAAGAAAACAAAAAUCCUCACAACUAGACCAAUAAAACAACAUUAAUGAUAAACGGAGAAAAGAUUGAAGUUGUUAAGCAUUUCGUUUUACUUGGAUCCACAAUCAACACCCAUGGAAGCAGCAGUCAAGAAAUCAAAAGAUGGAUUGCAUUGGGCAAAUCUGCUGCAAAGGGCCUCUUUAAAGUGUUGAAAAGCAAAGAUGUCACACUGAAGACUAAGAUGUGCCUGACCCAAGCCAUGGUAUUUUCUAUCACAUCGUAUGCAUGGGAAAGCUGGACAACAAAUAAAGAAGACCAAAGAAGAAGUGACACCUUUGAACUGUGGUGUUGGCGAAGAAUAUCGACUAUACCAUGGACUGCCAAAAGAACAAACAAAUCUGUCUUGGAAGAAGUACAACCAGAAAGCUCCUUGGAAGCAAGGAUGGCGAGACUGCAUCUUCCAUAGUUUGGACAUGUUGUCAGGAGAAGAACAUCAUGCUUCAUAAAGUACAGGGUCAGUGGAAAAGAGGAAGGUCCUCAACGAGAUGGAUUGACACAGUGGCUGCAACGGUGAGCUCAAGCAUAACAACGACUGUGAGCAUGACGCAGGACCAGGCAGUGUUUGUUUCGUUCUGUGGUACACAGGGUGGCUAUGAGUCAGAACUGACUUGAUGGCACCUAACAACAACAACAGGAAACAAAGACACUCCGCCUUCCCCCCUCUCAGUUAUGGUAAGUUAGCUCUUUCCCCUUUGAGUCCAAUCCUAUUUGUGCGGUACCCCAGGAGAACCAUGAAGUAAACAGCCUUGGCGGUGCUUGGGUGUCAAGGGAAGCUGGAGGAAAGAAGAGUGAGAGAUUUAUGCAGAGGUGCCCUCCUAGGUCCUACUGGAACACUGGACCUCCUAACCCUGUCUGCUACUGCACUGGAAGGCAGAGCUUCCCCGGAAGCUGGAGACCCAGUGAGGAGCUCUAGAUGUGGGUGAUCGUGGAGUCUUCUCAGGUUAGCACCAGGCAAAUGGCAGCUCCAGAGGGGCAAUGCUAAGGCUCUGGUAUUGUUGACUUUAAGGCCCAUGGGUCCAACUCGUGUCCCUGGCAAAGCUGUUUUGCGCUGGGAACCGCGUGAGGUGAGGACCACAUUUUAUUUAAUAAAUCUUCAGAAAGCAGUACUUCUCAGCCUUGGUUGCACGUUGGAAUCACCUUGGGGAGCUUAACAACAGACUGAUGUCUGAGCCCAGCUCCCAGUGAUGCUGGUUGAAUUAUUCUGGGUGUGACGUGGGUGGGCACUAGGAGUUUUAAAAGCUCACCACGUGAUUGUAAUGUGCAACCAAGGUUGAGCACCAAUGCUCUAAAGGCCCAAGUACAAAGACCACGUCCCCCACGAGCAAAGCGGAAGCUGUAACAGAGGCAGAUUAAAAACAGCUAAGGAAGCCCAGGAGCCCUGGUGGUGCAGUGGUUAAGAACUUGGCUGCUGACCAAAAGAUAGGCAGUUUGAAUCCACCAGCCAUUCCUUGGAAACUCUAUGGGGCAGUUCUACUCUGUCCUAUAGGGUUGCUAUGAGUUAAAAUAGACUUGACAACAAUGAGUUUGGUUUCUUUGGCUUUAAGGAAGCCCAAAGAGUUCCUGGGUGGCACAAACAGUUAAGCGCUCGACUCUUAGCCAAAAGAUUGGUGGUUUGAAUUCACCCAGAAAUGCCUCGGAAGACAGGCCUGGCAAUCUGCUUCUGAAAGGUGACAGCCUUGAAAACCCUAUGGAGUAGUUCUACUCUGCCCACGUGGGGUCGUCAUGAGUUGCAAUGGAUUCAACAGCAACUAACAACAACAACGAGGAACCCAAGACUCCAUAAAAGCCAUGAUUUCACUGGGGAAGAUCAUGGAGAAGACAUAUUCUCGGUGUUUCUUGUGGUCUAGAGCUAUUAGCCAGGAGCUAGUCUGGUAUGUGUGUGCACAGUGACACGAAGGCCCUGCCUUAUGUGUCAGAAACAUGGUUUUGUAAUAUACAAGAUAGUUCCCCAAAUGGUUGCGUUUUGCCAGUCAGGAUGUGUGGGCUUUUCCCUCAGGUUGCUCCGUAACUGUUAGAAGGGGUGUGACCAAAACAAACCCUGUCACAUCCUGUGGGUGUCUGCUGACUGCAGAAAGCUCCUGCUGACUUCAGCGUUUCUGGUGUCAUAACACAGUCAGAUGCGUCUCUUCAGGAGGUGAAAUCUCCAGGCCCUUCUGUUUUGAAAAUCCACGUGUGGCAAGGCUCUGACUCACUUCCCCGACUGCUUCCUGCAUCAACAGCCCCAGCGGUUCCUCUCACUCCAGGGUUCAGUGAACAAGGUAGAAACUGUCAGCCAUCGUAGGAAGAGACUUGAAUUUUAAUUGACUCUCCCACUGUUGGGUGGGCAAGGAGGGAGCUUAUGUAGGCAGCUUUGAGAUCUUGGUAGGAAAGAACCGAUGUAAAUACAAAAUGAGAUUAACCCCAAUUCAGACCUCUGUGGAGAGGGCCAGAUCUAUUCAUUCAAAAGAAAGAAAGCAAUCAGAAAAUAGGCCACUUCUCCCAAUUGUACAGCACGGUUGAAUAUUUGGCUGUGGGUGACUGUCACUAACUACCUUUUUUUCAGUCAUUUGAGACACUGAUUGACAGACACCAGGCAUGUUAUUAGUUGGCGUCAAGUCAUGGCGACCUUAGGUAUGACAGAAUGAGACAGUGCCAGGUCCUGUACCAUUUUCAUGAUCUUUGAUAUGUUUGAACCCACUGAUGUGUCUAUGGUGUCAAUUCAUCUCACUGAGGGUUUCCUUCAUUUUUGCUGACCCUCUAAGUAACCAAACAGGAUGUCCUUUUCUAGCCAUUGGCCUUUCCUGAUGAUGCCUCCAAAGUGAGCCUGAAUCUUGCCAUCCUUGUUUUGGUGCCCAUUUUACAGAUCAUGAAAUCAAGGCCUGAGAUGUUCCCCGUUGCUCUCAAGUCAAUUCUGACUCAUAGCGACCCUACAGGACAGAGUAGAACUGCUCCAUAGGGUUUCCAAGGAGCGGCUGGUGGAUUCCAACUGCCAAUUUUUGGUUAGCACCCAUAGCUCCCUAUAGCUCUUAACCACUGCACUAACAGAACCCUGAUGGUGCAGUGGUUAAGAGGUUUGGCUGCUAACCAAAAUGUCGGCAGUUCGAAUCCACCAGCCGCUCCUUGGAAACUCUAUGGGGCAGUUCUACUCUGUCCUACAGGGUCACUACGAUUCGGAAUUGACUCCACAGCAACAGGUUUGGUUUUGCUUUGGUUUUAGAGAGGUUCAGCCUGUCUGAGGUUCUCAUGCUAGUAACUAGCUGAGCAGAGAUACGAACCCAGGCCUGAGCACAGAGCCUGCACUCUAACCACUGUGUCACACUGUCUCUCCUAAAGUAUGUUACACCUUGGCCCAAAUCAGGUACAACUAUAGGAAACUAUGAAAUACAGGUAACUGGAAAGAGAAAAAUAAAAAAGUUGCAGUCAAGUCGA